UCGUACAAAAUGUGAGGGGCAUGCUCGGGCUGUCGCUGACUCAAAGGUCGUGCACGCCCGGGUGUGUCCCCUCACAUAAUAAUCCACCUCACCCUUUGUGCAUCACCGCGUGGGCACCCUUUGGGAUCAUCUCAGAGGGGGCUCGCGUUUUCACACAAACCCCCCCUUUAAAAGUGUAGAAUGACCUCAUACGUGCGCUAACCCGCAAUCAAUAC
This 215-nucleotide unclassified non-coding RNA is filed under the name Lactarius dombangensis. RNAcentral describes it as "internal transribed spacer 1". The record is from RNAcentral. Lineage: Eukaryota; Fungi; Basidiomycota; Agaricomycetes; Russulales; Russulaceae.